Molecule: long non-coding RNA, 3319 nt
Organism: Oncorhynchus nerka (sockeye salmon)
Lineage: Eukaryota; Metazoa; Chordata; Actinopteri; Salmoniformes; Salmonidae
Exons: 3
Source: RefSeq, a predicted model, not a curated record
UUGCAGAAGGAGUUGUCUUCUCCUGGCAUGGUGGGCUUUUUCUGCUGCGAUGUAGCAUGCAAAUACUGGCCAUAUUUGCAGAAAGUUGUGCAGGCUUGUCCAGAGUCGGGGGAGCUUCUAAAAAUGCACCCUCUCCUAUCUGUUAUCCAUCAAUCAAUCAAAUGUAUUUAUAAAGCCCUUCUUAUGUCAGCUGAUGUCACAAAGUGCUGUACAGAAACCCAGCCUAAAACCCCAAACAGCAAGCAAUGCAGGUGUAGAAGCACAGUGGCUAGGAAAAACUCCCUAGAAAGGCCAGAACCUAGGAAGAAACCUAGAGAGGAACCAGGCUAUGAGGGGUGGCCAGGUGGGUGGAGAUUAUAACAGAACAUGGCCAAGAUGUUCAAAUUUUCACAGAUGACCAGCAGGGUCAAAUAAUAUUAUGCAUGCGAAGGCGCAUGAACGGGCUUGUGAGGUAAUUGUUUUCCUUCAUGACGGUUUUUGUGUUAUGUAGAAAGGACACUGUAAUGCUUUUUAAAAGAAUAGAAUGAAUGUAACAUUAAAAUAUUUAUAUAUUUGUUCAUUUUGGCAUUAUAUUAUAGUCGAGCAGGUGAGUAGUUUUAUAAUCAGAGCUGCUGUCACGACAAAGUGCAUGUCCAAGGCUGAUAAGUGUAUUAUUAUAACAUAACAAAUGCUGAAGAAGGUUAAAGAUUGCAACAUAAUUCCCUUAAUAAUGUUUAACUAUUAAGUGGUCUUCAUAUUUUAGCUCCAGCACACUUCAAUUAAGAAGAUCAAACUAAUUGCCCCUCUCCAUGCCACGGUGGAGAGACUUGUGUACCUCAAUUACCCUGAGUGCUAAGCCGGAAGGGGGUUUAUAGCCCCGGCAGGUGCAACCAAGCCGGCCAGGUUAAAGGGUAGGAGGCAGACAAAGCAGUCCAUGGUCCUCCAUGUCGGAGGUUGGGCUUGGGGCUAACUACCCCACCCCGGAAAAACUGAAACAUUGACAUAUGGAAACCAAAUAAACUGCCCCAAAGCAGAACAUUUUCUUGGACACAUGUUACUGCUGAAGGGAGAAGCUUACAGUGAAGGACAUUUACUUUUGGGCUUACUUGAUGAUGCUAUGACGAUAUUAUGUUAUGCUAUGUUAAUGAUGUUAUUGUUGUUGUUUUUUAAAAUCUUACACUUGACUGAAAUGGCAGUUUUUAUGUUGAUUGGUUAGGCACACAGUAGUAAUUUAUUAGAAUAACUGACUGAAGAUGUUUUUCCAACAGUGCGCACAUAUUUUAUCACACAACUGGCAAUGGGCUAGAAUAAGAGGACGUUUGCCAACAUGGAUUGCAUGUUGGUAAAGAUAUAUAUGAAGGUAUUGGGGGGGGGGGGGCUUUCAUAAAAAAUAUAUAUUUGACCUGCUUUCUCAUUAUUGUUUAUCUAUUUAUACAUGUCUAAUAUUCUUUCUGCAAUCCUGGCUCAGCUUUUUAAUAUUUGUACAAGUCAUCUUGAUGUAGGAAAAGCUGGACAUAAACGAAGCUGUGCUUCAGGAGUGGGUUGCUGAGGUCCAGCAGUGACCUGAAAGUAUGUUCGGUUCUGAACAAAUAGAGCAUAUGGCCCACCCCGAAAACCAUCUGACUACAGUCCUAUCCCAUACUAUGUUACCAACAGGUUCUAAUUUUUCAAGUGAAUCAUACUAAAAUAUUUGACUUUAAGCAGUGUCUUCUCUCUUCAACUGCUAACUUUAUCUCGAGUUGAGUUCCACUUCCCUCAUUGCCCUAGUUUCUCAGCAACUGGCGUGCCUUAUCAGGAAGUGAAACUAGACUGCUCCCCUUUGUCUCCUUCCUUAGAAAUAUCAAUAUUCAGCAGAAUAUUAAUAUUUGAACAGAAAAUGAAAAUUCUUCACAUCCCCUUGCCUCACUCAGUAACUUUCCAUGCACACAGUUCCUAUUAACUCUCAAUUGUCCCCUAACAUAUACAUUUCUUAUACAUGUAAAGUCAUCAAUACAUUCUAAUAUGAUGACAGGAAUAACUAUAUUUCAAGCCAGAAUCCAACAUGUAGAAAAGUGAAUGUUUCUCUGUCUCUCAACUUCAUAAUUGUAUUGAUGUCAGUGGAGUCAUGUUUGUAACUUGUCCUAUGUUUGACAGCCAACCUUCAGGAUAGUCAGACAGGGCAUCUCCAGAAGAAGAUUGAGGGGCAUUACCUCAUUGUGAAACAGAGGAAACACUACCUCUACCAUUUAACAGACGGCAACAAGAGAAGGCAUCAGAUUCUGAGAAAAAUUGUUGAGGACAAGGCAGCCUUGACAACUGCCAUUGUUCAACUUCCCACACAGUAGGCAGAGUUUAGGCUCCCCACAGUGGAUGAGCUGCUCAAUACUGACAACUUUUUGUGGCCACGGGUGAGACCUCGCACCAGUAAGUUUAUGAUUACAGAAGGUACAGUAUCUAUUGUGACUGAAAUUUUACCUUCAGUGUAGGCUGCAAUCAUUGCUGUUGUUCUACUAUAUACCUCUGCGAGUUUACAUCUCACAGGCAACAGCCAUCUUGCCAUCAAAAAGGCCAUCUUCGACAGACUGAUGUUGGUGAACGGACUGCAGGAGGAAGAGAGGAUCCUGGUGCAGGAGAUGAAGAGGCACUGGGGAGCCUACAAAGAGCAGCGGGAACUCUGGAGGCACUGUCCAUACAGCUGCAAGAUCAGAGCAAUGCAGUGGAGUUGUCAGAGGGAGGAAUCUUCCUCCUGAAGAGAAGAUUGAGUGAACUGACACAAGACCAAGACAACACCAGGAACACCUAUCAAAAGCUGAUUCUGGGAGAAGGGGCUAUUUUUAAUGACUCUGAUGCAAAUGAAAACUCAGAUGAAGAUAGAAGUCCUAUUGCUGAGAGCUCAGAUGGUGACUGCUAUGCUUUCUGAAUUCAUACACCACCCCGCCCUCGUUCUCUCGGACUCUCUCUCUCCCGCAGGAGAGGGGGAAGGCUGCCACCACCUCCCUCAUGAGCAGCCAGGGUUCCAACAUUGACCCCUGACCCCUUGUCUUCUGAACGCAUCCAGGGAAAUGUAUUUUGCCUGAUGAUGGUCUAGUGGAGAUUUGUUGCCAUGUUUCCUCUCCUCACCUCCUCCCCUUCCGGUCCUAGACUAUGGCGACAUCAUCAGCAACUCAGAAUGUUGGUUGAGGAUCCCUUUACUGAGGAAUGUGGUUGUUCUUCAUGAUUAAAAAUAUCUAUAUAUUUUCUAUGCUGCUGGGAUUAUGAUUUUUUUGUGUUUUGAGUUGCAAAAGAGUCCUAGGUCUCAAUGGGUCUGCUAAAAUAAAUAAAGAAAGUAAAGGUCUUGAUAAAUAAAUGCAUUAAGCACUAA